RNAcentral lists this transfer RNA (68 nucleotides) under Synchiropus splendidus (mandarinfish). RNAcentral's name for it is "tRNA-Glu". It matches the Rfam family "tRNA". From Rfam's summary of the family: Transfer RNA (tRNA) molecules are approximately 80 nucleotides in length. Their secondary structure includes four short double-helical elements and three loops (D, anti-codon, and T loops). Further hydrogen bonds mediate the characteristic L-shaped molecular structure. tRNAs have two regions of fundamental functional importance: the anti-codon, which is responsible for specific mRNA codon recognition, and the 3' end, to which the tRNAs corresponding amino acid is attached (by aminoacyl-tRNA synthetases). tRNAs cope with the degeneracy of the genetic code in two manners: having more than one tRNA (with a specific anti-codon) for a particular amino acid; and 'wobble' base-pairing, i.e. permitting non-standard base-pairing at the 3rd anti-codon position. Lineage: Eukaryota; Metazoa; Chordata; Actinopteri; Syngnathiformes; Callionymidae. The record is from RNAcentral.
GUUCUUAUAGUUGAAUACAACAGUGGCUUUUCGAGCCACAGGUCCUGGUUAAACUCCUGGUAAGAAUU